CUUCGAAACAGUUUUGUGUUGCCUUUUCUUUCAUUCUUAUUUUCGUUGGGUUUUUGUUUUGAGUGAGUGAUCUGUUGAUCUCCACAUUUGUCCCUGUCGCAGUCGACUACUCUACACAGCAACAUAAUGACGUCAAAGUUUACCUUCAUUCUUUUGUUAUCUGCAAACAUUGGAAAUGUGUGAUGCUAUUCAGGAGUAUGGACUGAUUGAUAUUCUCUACUCGAUCGUAAUUAAUUAAACAACUUAUAAUUCAUUCCAGAAUCGUUGAUAUUUACGACUAACGAGAACAAGUGGUCCACAG
RNAcentral lists this long non-coding RNA (301 nucleotides) under Drosophila guanche. Lineage: Eukaryota; Metazoa; Arthropoda; Insecta; Diptera; Drosophilidae. The record is from RNAcentral.